GCGCCCCCGCCGAGCUGCCGCGCCCGGGCGGCCGUCAGGGUGCGGGUGAGCAGAACCGGGAACCGGCUUGGGAGGUCUCGUUACUGCGAUCGUCAGAGAGAAGGAGGCGCCAGGGUCCCCGGCUCAAGCACGCACACGCGGGGCCGCCAGGAUGACGGGACCGCCCAGGAUCCGCUGGGCAGAAGCAGCACAAAUCUGUGCAAGGAGAAACGGCUUCUCUCGUUUUCGUUGGUAGCUGUGCAUCUAGCGAGAGAACAUCCCGACGUACGGUUGACUGAGCCUCAGAGACAGGCGGACGGGUAUGGACAGACGUCACGUAUUUUCCCUGAUGGCCUUUCUCCACUGGGGGUUCGGGAGGAAGACCAGUCCACCCAGAUUUCUAACUCUGGUUCUCCUUGGGCAUACGCACCUGAAAAUCACUGGGAAGAGACUGUGCAGGAAAUCUCGGGAUUCCAAUCCAGCUGCUCUGUAAGAGGGAGAAUUUAGAAACGGGCACUACUUGCACAGGUGUUCUGUGAUGCACCCCAGUCCAGAAAACAACCUUUCAACGCAGCCCUGCUUCUGAUACAUCUCAGAGAGUUUUUGGUUAGAUCAAGACAUGUCGCGAAAUAAUGUUAAGUCAUUUUACACAUAAAUAUAUCAUUAAAAUACAACAGAUGGGUGAAAAGGUGUCAGAAAAAACCAAGCCCUACCUGGUUUGAAUGCUGGGCCGGGAAUUCUAGCAAUGAACAGCUUUAAGUAAAUUAUCUUUUCUUUUUUUAAAUGAAGUCAUUUAUAAAAUAUAAGACCAUAUGGUUCUGUGUAUUUCAUGGAGGCUGCUCAAGUAAGACAAAUUCAUGUAAGUAUAAAAGGAAGCUUACCUUUAGGAAAGAAGUGACCGCAUAACUCCACAUUUUUCUCCAAUUCAUUGUACGGGCAUCAUCUCAAUGUUUGUACCCAGACACUAUCUCUCAUUCUAUCUAAUGUAAGUUAGUUUAUUCCCGGAUUUCCUAUUUGUUUUGCCUAGAAUUUAGCCCUUGGUUCCAUGUUACCUCCAGAACAGGUUUAUUUACCUCAUUUCCUUAGCUUGGUGAAUAUGAAGGGGGGGAUGUGGUCUGAGCCAGUGGUUUGGGGCCAACAACUUGGGGUGUAGACUUGGGGAAGGCCCAGAAGACCAAAACAGUUACUUGCACACAACUCAGGUUAUAGCAUGAAAUUACCUGCAAGAGUGCAAAGAGAAGGCAAGUGUAUCAGAGAAAAGGAAAAGUGGUAGGGCACGAAGUGUACUUUGCAUCAAUGAGCACAUGUUUCAAAGACUUAGCACCACCCAACAAAGGACCCACAACAGCCCUAGUUCUUUCCAGACUCCACCAGCAUUUUCUACACUGAACCUAAUGCUUGGCUUGAUCAGCAGACUACUUUUUCCAGUUUCUGCUUUAAGAGGUAUUAUUUACAUAGAAAAAACAUGAAUUAUCUCACAAAUUGAUAUGGAAAAUACGUCUCUUUAAAAAAUAAAUUAUGGGGCACCUGGGUGGCUCAGUGGGUUAAAGCCUCUGCCUUCGGCUAGGCUCAGGUUAUGAUCCCAGGGUCCUGGGAUCCAGCUGGCACCCGGCAUCCACAUCGCAUCUCGCUCUCUGCUCAGCCGGGAGCCUGCCUGCCCCCCACUCCCGCCUCUCUGCCUACUUGUGAUCUCUGUCUGUCAAAGAAAUAAAUAAAAUCUUAAAAAAAAAAUUACAUCCUUACCUUACACUGAGAAGAACCCAAUGACCUAAAUAUUGUAAAAACUAAAAAUCAUUUUCCAAUAGUUAGAAGAAAUUGUGGGUGGGUAGUUGUAAUAAUGGAGGUGGAGAAGACCAUCCUAAGAGCAAAAGCAAUGGUUUUUAUCACAAAAGGUAAGAGUGAUAACUUUGGCUGUAUAAAAAUAUAUGAAUCCUGUAAGUCAAAACCAGAUACAGACCAAAUUUAAAAUAUGCCCUUUGGUGUUACAACUUUGACCCUUUAUAAAGAGGGGUCUUCUAACACCCUCCCUCCUGCUUUGUUCACAUGUGAGGAUCAACUCGGGUGUCUUGGGACUGGUGGAGAGGGAUACUUCACAGUUACAAUGCUGGGGACUCCCUUGAGUCCCGACCUCGGUGUGUUUCUGGUUUGCUAGUAUGUAGCAAUGUGUUCACGCAGGUGCCACGGAAAUGCGUUGCUUUUAUUCUGCCCUUGCUAUUAUGUUUCAUGUUACCUUCUUGUUUUUGCAUUAAAGAUUGACUUGAGAACGUAGUCUUAAGCAUGUAAUGCAGAAUAAGUAUGAAAAAGCUUCAGGAAUGCAGAUGAACAGCAUAUUAUAGAGAAAUAGGUAAAUAGAAAGUGUUACAUUGUAUCACCUUAAGUAAAAUAAACAAGUGAAGUAAACAGGUCCAUUCCAGUGUUUUUCAUGAAUGGUGGC
Long non-coding RNA from Mustela putorius furo (domestic ferret), 2413 nucleotides. Lineage: Eukaryota; Metazoa; Chordata; Mammalia; Carnivora; Mustelidae. The record is from Ensembl.